RNAcentral lists this ribosomal RNA (465 nucleotides) under uncultured bacterium. Its description in RNAcentral is "partial 16S ribosomal RNA". It matches the Rfam family "Bacterial small subunit ribosomal RNA", at positions 28 to 507 of the family's 1533-position model. The record is from RNAcentral.
GACGAACGCUGGCGGCGUGCUUAACACAUGCAAGUCGAACGGAAAGGCCCCUUUGGGGGUACUCGAGUGGCGCACGGGUGAGUAACACGUGAGUAACCUGCCCUUGACUUCGGGAUAACUUCAGGAAACUGGGGCUAAUACCGGAUAGGAAUCCUUGCUUCAUGGUGGGGGUUGGAAAGCUUCGGCGGUUUUGGAUGGACUCGCGGCUUAUCAGCUUGUUGGUGGGGUAGUGGCUUACCAAGGCUUUGACGGGUAGCCGGCCUGAGAGGGCGACCGGCCACAUUGGGACUGAGAUACGGCCCAGACUCCUACGGGAGGCAGCAGUGGGGAAUAUUGCACAAUGGGCGGAAGCCUGAUGCAGCAACGCCGCGUGCGGGAUGACGGCCUUCGGGUUGUAAACCGAUUUCAGCAGGGGCGAAGCUUGUGGUGACGGUACCUGCAGAAGAAGCACCGGCUAACUACGUG